Molecule: long non-coding RNA, 750 nt
Organism: Symphalangus syndactylus (siamang)
Lineage: Eukaryota; Metazoa; Chordata; Mammalia; Primates; Hylobatidae
Source: RefSeq, a predicted model, not a curated record
UCUGCCAAAAGAUAUUUUCAAACUGGGAGUGCAUGACAAGCUGAGGCACCACCUCUCACACAGGGACUUGUACAUCCAGAGACAAUGAAGUGCUCUAGGGGCCAUUGGCAGGAAAAAUAUUCUAGGUAUCCGUGAUGAAGAAAUCCAUGUACCAAACAGCUAUAAUGAAGGCUUUUGAAAGGAAAUGAGGCCAAGUCUUCAAAUGAGGGCUGGAAACAGUUAAAAGCAUGAAGCUCAGCUUUAUUCGAUAACUUUACAUAAAUAAAAUAAGGAAGGAACUUCAAAAGGGAGAGAAGAUGUGGCUGGGCAUGGUUGCCAUAGUAGCAAAAACAUGCUUUUGCCUUUUUGUCAGUUCUUUCUAUAUUGGAGGGCGGUGGGGAGAGGCUCUACAGACUAGAGCUGGAGCCUAGGGGAAGAGCCAAGCAGGGACUAAGCUGUUUGAUCCUGAGAAGAAAAGAAGAAAGAGUUUAUCCAGAAAGUAUGCCUAGGGCUUAUGAGGAGGCAAAGUGGUGAAUGAAGCCUCCCCUGAGAAACAAGUCCAACUGGCAGAGGCUUCCCAGCAUGGAGACGUCUGGAAAAAAGGAAAUGGUACUUUUGGAUCACAUGUGAAGGUUUAAAAAAAUACAGCUGCCCUGGCUUCCUGAAAUCUGGAAAGCUUUACAGCAUGAAAGAAGAAUGGUUUCAUUGGAUAAUAAUCCAUCUGCAAUAAGAGCAAAGUCCAUACUACUAUUAAAUGUGUUUAUCCACUGA